AUGCAACAGUCAUGUGACUUAUGUUACACCGUUCAGUUUUACAGUCAAAUGGCUGGGUGUGGCUUUGUUGUUGCUGCCAGUGCUUCUCCAGCCUGCACCAUACAAGUUGAAGGAGAGCGUUCCGACCCAGCAGAGGUUCAGCAGGCCUUCACUGACUUCCAACCUACUGGAACCAGUCUGGUGAAGAACCUGAAUGGGACCACAGUGGAGCACCACAUGUCCUUAUGGCUGCAGAAGACCAUCGAUGUUCCCAAGAAUUUGUGACCAUCAGUGGAACUGGAAUACCCGUCUGUUCUUAAACAUUGUUUGUGUUGAUGUCAACUCUCCAGAACCACGAGCACAGAUUUGGGGGUUUAUUCAGACAUUUAUCUUUGCAUCAUGAAUCUAACGCUGUGAAGCUUUGAGGGCUCAUGUUGCUAUGAUGUAAGGUUGAUGUUCUGCUGACUAAAGCAUUAAGGUGAGUGUUGGGAGCUGAUGGACAUUUACUUCACUACAGUUCUUCCAUUAAAGUUGUUUAACAUGUUUAAGACAUUACAAGUUACGAAAUGUUUAAUAUUUGUCAUUAAUAAAUGUAAUUAGUAGUCAUUUACAAAACCAGUUUGAAUAUGAACGCAUGUUUAGAGAAAGUAGAAAAUGCAGCUUUAUUUGUUAUCUUUGUAUUUUGAAAAUUAACAUAAUUUUUAUGAUAAAGAUUUGACUGAGACAUGUUCAUUUUGUUUUAUUGAAUUAUUCAGUUUGUAUUUUAUUUAUUGUAUUUACUGUAGAAUUGGGUCAUUUUAACCCGAGCUUUAGUAACUUAAUAACCCAGAAGUUGGGUUUUAUUUUUAACCCAGUUGUGGGUAGUCCUAACUAUACAGUUGGGUCAUUUGAACCCAUUGACUGGGUAGAAAGCAUAACCCAAUAAGCUGGGUCCAACUCAUAACCCAACCCUGCUAGGUUAAAAUAACCCAGGUGCUGGGUCGGUCCCUUUUGGACCCAGCACCUGGGUUACUAAACAACCCAAAUUGGGUUAUUUUUAACCCAGCAGUUUUAAGUGUGAUGAUGUGGCUUUUAGACCACGACUCGUUUUAUUAUUCUAUUGUGUUCUUGGUGGUCCUCGUGUUUUAUCUGCUUGUAUUCGUAUCCUGUGUUCUGAUUGGUCGUGAUUUGGUCCAGCCUGUGCAGCACUCUGGGCAGCUCCCAUGCUGCGCUGUAAAUGUGCCAUACACAUAAGCUGUGGACGUGGUAUGUGUUGUAAGAACCUCGUAGAACCUCAGUAGGUGCCAUGUGGUUACCAUUUACAGGACCCCCCUCCGACAUCUCCAUUAACCCCCAGUUCACCUCUGACAGUCACAGUGAAGUCAGACAGAAAGGCGGAGCCAGCUGACAGAGAAAGGUACGCUAAUGAACAAAGAGAAAUUCCCAACAAACUGUAAAACUUCGGGUUCUGCAGCACGGAACCGCGCGCUGGAGCUACAGGUGUUAUGCAGAGAAAAGUGACCCUGCCUGCCGACGGCUCCGCCUACCUGCUCCGUCACACACGGCUCACAGCUGCAUGGUGAGGGAGUAAAGAACUUGAAAUAAGAGCAACGCUGCUACUUUUAAGUAUAUUCACAAUAUAAACAAGUUUUCAUUGGUGCACUUCCUAAAUACAUAAAAGUCAAACUUAAAGGACCAUUCGGAUGUGUUUUCUUCUCAUUUUAAUGCUUUUCUGAAAAGUAUCGGACAGGACUCGGUAUCGACAGACACUCAGAAUCAGAUCAGGAACAAAAUAAGGUGAUCGGAACAUCUCUACUUUAUUCCUCUCAGCUCGAGGCUACCAGGGCGCCAGAUUCAGAUAAGAACUGUUUGGGUCAGGCAGACAUAAUUCUCUCUGCCUUUCAGUUGUUAACCGAUCAUUCCAGUCUCUCGGUACAUCCAUUUUUGGGAUUAACCUUGCCCAUACCAUGAACUGACUUCCUCCAAGAUCACACCCAUCUUGCGCACUAACACCAGGAUCGCAGCUAGAAUCUCUAGCUGGCCAUUCACCUUGAGCAGCUUCCCAGUCUGAGCCGUCUCCACACGGCUGACACUUUCCAUGGUCAUUGUUAAACUUCAUGCUGUACAACAUGUCGUCCUUUAUUAGCUAAACACCACUAAACAUCAUCAUACACGGUGUCGGAAGUUGGCGAGAAGAUUCCGAAGUUGGCGCUUCAGCGCGACUGAACGGGAAAGCUCAACUCGACAGCGGACCAGACGUAACGUGCUGGUAAGAGAAGGGCCUGCUAGCACGCAGCUUCCCCAUCGGAGAAAAGAUGGACCAGGCAGUUACGAUGCUGCCGCCGGGAAGUUUUAACUUUGAUGAGCCGAGCGGUGGGACUCAGUGGCUUCGACGCUUUGAGCGGUUUAGAGUAGCAUCAGGAUUAUCCGAGAAGCCGGAUCAGCAUCAAGUCAACUCGCUGAUGGGCGACAAUGAAAGGAGGAAAUAUGCAGACGUGUGCAGAGCUCUGGGUGAGCAUUUUAUCAGCAAACAUAAUGUCAUUUAUGAAAGGGCCCAGAUUUCGUAGCAGAUACCAGCAGCCAGGAGGAAAACUUCAUCACAGAUGGUCAUAAGCUGGCUGAACGCUGCCGGUACGGCGUCCUACUGGAAGAAAUGAUCAGAGAUCGGAUUGUAGUUAGGAUCAGAGAUGCUAAAUGUCCAAAAGACCACAGUUAGACCCAAAUCUCACCCUAGCAAAGACAAUAACUCUGACACGACAAAAUGAAGACGUGAAGAUGCAACAGCCGGGGAAAAGACUGAGGCUAAAGAACAUAACUUGGCUGGUUGCAGAGCCAAAAUAACAACACAGAGAGCAGAAACAUGCAGGAGAUGUGGGAGGAGCCCUCAGCAUGCAUGGAAACAGUGUCCUGCCAGAGAAGCUGAGUGUAUAAAUGUAAAAGGAGAGGACAUUUUGCUGCAACGUGUAGAGCAGGACAAAGAGUGGAGACUAUCGAAGAAACGCAUCAGAUGGAGGAAGGUGCAUUUGUGGGUGCUAUCCAUAGAGGGAAACAGGAAGUGUGGAGGCAGGAUAUACAGAUGAAUGGAAGAGUUGUUGACUUCAAGUUAGACACAGGGGCAGCAGUCGCAGGCAAACCAGAGUCCAUGUAUUCAAAAGCCAGAGACGGCAAACUACAGAAAACACAAAAGAAAAGCAGUGGGCCCAACAACCAGCCACUGAGCACGCCUUGAAAGGGACAGAAGGACGACAGAGCAACAUACAUCUGUCCUUAAAGACUUAGUAACACCACUACUGGGCCUUCCAGCCAUCCAGAGCUUACAGUUACUACAACAAGCAGCAGCAGUUCAAGCAGGAGAAAAUCAUUUCCAGAGGUGUUCUCAGGCUUGGGUACACUACAGGAACGCUCUAAAAUAGAGCUAGCCAAGGGAGCCACGCCGUAGGCCCCGUCAGCACCAAGACGUGUGGCCUUACCACUCACGGAUAA
This is a long non-coding RNA of Nothobranchius furzeri (turquoise killifish), 3441 nucleotides long. NCBI's taxonomy places the organism in Eukaryota, Metazoa, Chordata, Actinopteri, Cyprinodontiformes, Nothobranchiidae. The record is from Ensembl.